GCGGCGGAGGGUGAGUAACACGCUGGGUAACCUGCCUGUAAGACUGGGAUAACUCCGGGAAACCGGGGCUAAUACCGGAUGGUUGUUUGAACCGCAUGGUUCAAACAUAAAAGGUGGCUUCGGCUACCACUUACAGAUGGACCCGCGGCGCAUUAGCUAGUUGGUGAGGUAACGGCUCACCAAGGCAACGAUGCGUAGCCGACCUGAGAGGGUGAUCGGCCACACUGGGACUGAGACACGGCCCAGACUCCUACGGGAGGCAGCAGUAGGGAAUCUUCCGCAAUGGACGAAAGUCUGACGGAGCAACGCCGCGUGAGUGAUGAAGGUUUUCGGAUCGUAAAGCUCUGUUGUUAGGGAAGAACAAGUACCGUUCGAAUAGGGCGGUACCUUGACGGUACCUAACCAGAAAGCCACGGCUAACUACGUGCCAGCAGCCGCGGUAAUACGUAGGUGGCAAGCGUUGUCCGGAAUUAUUGGGCGUAAAGGGCUCGCAGGCGGUUUCUUAAGUCUGAUGUGAAAGCCCCCGGCUCAACCGGGGAGGGUCAUUGGAAACUGGGGAACUUGAGUGCAGAAGAGGAGAGUGGAAUUCCACGUGUAGCGGUGAAAUGCGUAGAGAUGUGGAGGAACACCAGUGGCGAAGGCGACUCUCUGGUCUGUAACUGACGCUGAGGAGCGAAAGCGUGGGGAGCGAACAGGAUUAGAUACCCUGGUAGUCCACGCCGUAAACGAUGAGUGCUAAGUGUUAGGGGGUUUCCGCCCCUUAGUGCUGCAGCUAACGCAUUAAGCACUCCGCCUGGGGAGUACGGUCGCAAGACUGAAACUCAAAGGAAUUGACGGGGGCCCGCACAAGCGGUGGAGCAUGUGGUUUAAUUCGAAGCAACGCGAAGAACCUUACCAGGUCUUGACAUCCUCUGACAAUCCUAGAGAUAGGACGUCCCCUUCGGGGGCAGAGUGACAGGUGGUGCAUGGUUGUCGUCAGCUCGUGUCGUGAGAUGUUGGGUUAAGUCCCGCAACGAGCGCAACCCUUGAUCUUAGUUGCCAGCAUUCAGUUGGGCACUCUAAGGUGACUGCCGGUGACAAACCGGAGGAAGGUGGGGAUGACGUCAAAUCAUCAUGCCCCUUAUGACCUGGGCUACACACGUGCUACAAUGGACAGAACAAAGGGCAGCGAAACCGCGAGGUUAAGCCAAUCCCACAAAUCUGUUCUCAGUUCGGAUCGCAGUCUGCAACUCGACUGCGUGAAAGCUGGAAUCG
This 1254-nucleotide ribosomal RNA is filed under the name Bacillus subtilis. RNAcentral describes it as "bacterial SSU rRNA". It matches the Rfam family "Bacterial small subunit ribosomal RNA", at positions 95 to 1334 of the family's 1533-position model. The record is from RNAcentral. Lineage: Bacteria; Bacillati; Bacillota; Bacilli; Caryophanales; Bacillaceae.